RNAcentral lists this non-coding RNA (148 nucleotides) under Pan troglodytes (chimpanzee). The record is from Rfam by way of RNAcentral. Lineage: Eukaryota; Metazoa; Chordata; Mammalia; Primates; Hominidae.
GCCAGGCAUGGUGGCGCAUGCCUGUAAUCCCAGCUACUCAGGAGGCUGAGGCAUGACAAUCGCUUGAACCUGGGAGGUGUAGGUUGCAGUGAGCUGAGAUUGUGCCACUGCACUCCAGCCUGGGUGACAGAGUGAGAUUCUGUCUCAA